RNAcentral lists this non-coding RNA (22 nucleotides) under Sclerotinia sclerotiorum. Lineage: Eukaryota; Fungi; Ascomycota; Leotiomycetes; Helotiales; Sclerotiniaceae. The record is from RNAcentral.
CAAUACUGGACUACAAAAUGAU